UAUAAUGAUGAGCUCUAAUAACACCAUUAAUGCUAGAUAGUAUCUGAAAGUUCAACUUACUGAUUUCAGUGUUUUUUACAAUAAAAUAAUCUCUGAUA
Molecule: small nucleolar RNA, 98 nt
Filed under: Huiozyma naganishii CBS 8797
Lineage: Eukaryota; Fungi; Ascomycota; Saccharomycetes; Saccharomycetales; Saccharomycetaceae
Description: Kazachstania naganishii CBS 8797 Small nucleolar RNA snR65
Rfam family: Small nucleolar RNA snR65
Source: Rfam by way of RNAcentral